Peromyscus eremicus (cactus mouse) is the source of this 336-nucleotide long non-coding RNA. RefSeq lists it as uncharacterized. The record is from RefSeq and is a predicted model, not a curated record. The transcript has 3 exons. NCBI's taxonomy places the organism in Eukaryota, Metazoa, Chordata, Mammalia, Rodentia, Cricetidae.
UUUCUUUCUGACAUCCUGUAGGGACAUGGCUGGUGCUGAAGCUUUGUGUCUCCAGGCAGCAGGCUGGGAAAGACUUUUGCUGCCUGUAUGACCCUAUGCUGGGGCUACCAAGGAGACUCCUGGGACUACACUCAGCAAGGGACAUUUUCAACUGGAUGGUGCUUAGAGCAGGAGAUGCCACUCAAGCCCUAACACACUGGAUGGAAGGGGGAACACACAGGUCUCCUUGAUGGAAGAGGCUUCUGAUUGACAGAGAAUUUGGGCCAGAGGCUUACAAGCAGAUGGACUAAGAGCAACAAAAGAAAAUAUCUACUGAUCCAGGUGAAGAUCAGCCAU